Long non-coding RNA from Nicotiana tabacum (common tobacco), 1881 nucleotides. RefSeq lists it as uncharacterized. Lineage: Eukaryota; Viridiplantae; Streptophyta; Magnoliopsida; Solanales; Solanaceae. The record is from RefSeq and is a predicted model, not a curated record.
GUGACAAAAUACAGCAUUACUCUUACCCCAUCUUCUCCUCCUCCUUUUUAGCAAAAUUUGGCCAUCAUCUCUUGAAAUCCAGAGCUUUUCACUCCAUUUUGAUACAAAUCCCAUCUCUCUCACAUGUGGUCUCCUUUUUCGAGCAAGUAGGACAUGCCAACAGAAAAUAGUCAAGCCAAAUCUUAACUCUUUUGUAAAAUAGCAAGGACAAAUCUCUGCCACUCUGAAGCAAGCAAAGGAUUUGGUCAAAUUUCUUCAAAAGAAUCCAAAACUCUUCUCCCAACAAUAGCGAGGUUGCACUCCAUGGCUGUGACAGAUAUGUUGGAACUCAUUCCGAUCGAGGUUCGAAUCUUUUGCACAACGAGAGAGUAGAUUCGAGGCCAACAUCGUCCUAGUUCACUGCCCCACAACAGGUAAAAUCUGACUUUUUUUUUUAUUCUGAUCUUUCCCUCAAGGAAAUUGUAUUUGCUCUUAAAAAAAAACAUAUCUUAGGUUUACGUUUGUUUGUUGUAGUGUAAUGUACAGAUGACAUUUUUUUUAAUAGUAAAGUUAUGUGAAGAAUCCAUGUUUUAAGUCUAGUUGUAUUCAAAUUGGCUGUGUUAAACUUUAUUGACCAAACCAUGCUAUUUGCUAUUGUUUUCUUGGCUAUUCGAAGAAGUGAUGUUGUUCAAAUGUAUUAUAAACCAUGUUCUUUAGGAUUUCAUGUCUUAACAACCAUCUGUUCUAAAAUACUUUUAAAACUAUAUUCUUGAAGUGUAAAAUAAUGGUAGAAAGCAUAGCCUGUGGGUUAUUUUGGUAAUUAUAGAGAUGACGACAGUGGGUGAUAAUAAUAUUCAUGCUUAGUUUAAGUACUUCUCUAGGAUGUUAACUGACCAUGUUCCAAGUUUGUUUAGAAGCACAUGAUUUUGGUUUCUGCUGUCAGUAGUACUAAUAGGAGCUGACCACUGUUUCACUUGCUUAGAUAAUGGAUAUAAAAAGGGUAUAAUCUGUUAAGACAUUUAAGCUGAUCUAUUGUAUCUCUAAAUAACAAAAUACACGACUCUACAUUUUCUUGGUUUUGAUAACUCAAAAUAGCAUGCCAUUAACUUCCUUUUACAAACUUUGUUCAAAGUAGGCGUUGGCUAGUUAUGGGUAUGUGUUAGCUCUCUGUUUCUUUUUCUAUGUAGAUGUGGUAACAAGUUUUCUGCGACCCUCUUUUAACACUUAGAAACCAAAACAAAUGAAUUUAAUAUCUCAUUUUAAAUAGACUCUUGCUAACGAAGUGAAUGCUACUGAUGAGAACUUGCAAGUCUUUUUUGUUGUUGACAUCCUUCGGUUAAUAAUUUAAAAGUGGCCUUAGAAACUGUAGAAUAUAUCCUUGUCCGCCCAUUUAAUUUAGACAUUUUAGGAUAAUACUCAAUAGAAGAUAAAUUUACAUCUUAACUUUAAAUAUUACUUAAGAAGCUAUUUCCUGUUAGUAGGAGGUGAUUCUUUAUAUUUUGGUCACCAUGGCAUGUGAGCAUAUUUGUUUUAAUACAAGUUGGAAAGAUCUAUAUUUCCUCUCUGACUUUCAUGUCUGUUAAGAAGCAUAUGUUCUUCUCUAACUGUUUUAUUCUUUCUUUGUUUUUCGCAUGAACACCGGAGCCCGAAGAGUUUCACUUUGAGACUCUACGAUGCCGUAGCACCUCAUGGAAUCAACACUACAUAUUCUAACCUCAAAUUCUCUAGGAGAAACUAUAAAGAACCAUCAUUUUCGGAGUUCCUGAAGGAGCUGCCCGCUAUUCCAUCUUAAUCUUUACUUUGCCAAUUCCUAACUUUUAUUAACAAUCUGCUUUUCUUUUGUAUGAAUGUAGCUUGUCUUUGCUUGUUAUGUUAAGAUUAGUAUGACCAAGUUUUCAUUUA